Molecule: long non-coding RNA, 791 nt
Organism: Amblyraja radiata (thorny skate)
Lineage: Eukaryota; Metazoa; Chordata; Chondrichthyes; Rajiformes; Rajidae
Exons: 2
Source: RefSeq, a predicted model, not a curated record
UCUGCCGGGAGGUAUUUAAAAUCGGCCCCGUUUUUCUUUUCAGGCUUUUUAGCGCGUUUUAGCGCAUUUCAGGAGCGGUGCUAAAACGGGCGCCUGCUUCCUACUCCAUGGUGCCACCGGAAGUCAGAAUUAUUUUAGAAGUGCAGUAAACCUUCGUUAUUACGGACCAUUUUAUGAUGAAUUUUGGUUAUUGCGGAAGGACCUUCACUGCCAGGUCAGGCUACUGACGCCAUCCCCAGCCCGCAAUGCCUCCCUGGCCGCCGGCCCACAAAGCUUCCUCAGCCGCGCAUGCGUCGCCAUCGCCGCCGCCACUGACUACCUGUACUCCGGCCGCCCACGAGCCGCAAUCAAUGACUCCACCGAUCCUCGUCUCUCCCCCAGCUGUCAACUUACCGGGGCUGUCAAUUCACAUGGAUUCCAGGCCCAGUUCCAGAACUAGAGUCUGAAGAAGGGUCUCACCCCAAAAUGUCACCUAUCCAUGAUACUCCAACAUUUUAUGUCCUUUUGUGUAUUACCCAACAUCUGCAAUUUAUUUGUUUCUACUACUUAGAAUUGUCUAUUAUACAAUGAUAGUUCCUUACUCAGUUACAGUGGACAAUUGGCAACAACGGACAUCAUUCGCUCCUCUAUGGUCCAUUAUAACAAGGGUUUAAUGUGCAUGAUGUUCUCAUUUACAGUAUGAUUUGCCUAGAUAAUAACAAAACAAAGCUUUCCACUGUAUCUCGGUGUAUGUGAUAGUGACAUACCGAUACCAAAAUGUAGCUAUCCUGGACAAAUAAAAUCUAAUGGUU